UAUUGUAUAAAAACAGACAAUGUCAAGAAAUAAAACGGGAUCGAGAAUGUGUAAUCACUAUGUUGGGACAAGCUGAGUCACAACAACAGAUGUAGUGCAGUGUGUGUGUGUCCCUUUAAGGGGCGUGGCCUGUUGAGUAAUGUUAAGAACGUGGCAUGUGCUCAAACUUUGUUUUUGUUUUUUUGUGCUCUUUUUUUUUUUUCUCCACUCAAGUUAUGGUGUCUCUCAACCUCGCUCGCAACAAUUUCGGCCACUUGUACCGUCGAUUGAAAACUGACUGAAUAUUUUGUCCCUCAGGAGAUUCUCACGUAUCUGUAGAAUGAGUCACGACGCUUGACUUGUACUCCCGACAGUUUGAAAACAGAUACGCGCACUUUUGACUCCUUCUCUUUCAAAAUCUCCCAGGCUAUUUGACGACUUGUAAAUAGACGAAGGGAGGCUGGCGGCUCUGACGACAAAGGCUCUCGAUUCCGCGACUCUCCGCGCGCCUGUCCAGAAAUAUGCUGCCAUUCUGGUUCUCUGCGCCACCGGGGGUGCCCCCGGCGCAAAGGCCCCGCAGGGCUCAUCAUCAUCCGUGCGACUCCCAACAACUGUCAGAAUGGCGGCCUCCGGCCACCUGCGGCGACUUCUCGUGUAAGCGGACACCCCGCCUGACAGUUGACACCUCAACUCGCGCUCAACCUUUUUACAUUAUUCCUCUUAAAAAAAAAAA
Molecule: long non-coding RNA, 712 nt
Organism: Hippocampus comes (tiger tail seahorse)
Lineage: Eukaryota; Metazoa; Chordata; Actinopteri; Syngnathiformes; Syngnathidae
Exons: 2
Source: RefSeq, a predicted model, not a curated record